This 949-nucleotide non-coding RNA is filed under the name Gymnocephalus cernua (ruffe). Its description in RNAcentral is "12S ribosomal RNA". It matches the Rfam family "Bacterial small subunit ribosomal RNA". The record is from RNAcentral. Lineage: Eukaryota; Metazoa; Chordata; Actinopteri; Perciformes; Percidae.
CAAAGGCUUGGUCCUGACUUUACUAUCAACUCUAGCUAAACUUACACAUGCAAGUAUCCGCACCCCCGUGAGAAUGCCCUACAGUUCCCCGCCCGGGAACAAGGAGCUGGUAUCAGGCACAUUCCUACUUAGCCCAUGACACCUUGCUUAGCCACACCCUCAAGGGAACUCAGCAGUGAUAAACAUUAAGCCAUAAGUGAAAACUUGACUUAGUCAAAGCUAAAAGGGCCGGUAAAACUCGUGCCAGCCACCGCGGUUAUACGAGAGGCCCAAGCUGAUAGAUAUCGGCGUAAAGCGUGGUUAAGAUCUUAAUAUAAACUAAAGCCGAACACCUUCAAAGCUGUUAUACGCACCCGAAGGUAAGAAGUUCAACCACGAAAGUGGCUUUAUAACCCCUGAACCCACGAAAGCUACGACACAAACUGGGAUUAGAUACCCCACUAUGCUUAGCCGUAAACAUUGGUAGCACACUACCCCUACUACCCGCCUGGGAACUACGAGCAUCAGCUUGAAACCCAAAGGACUUGGCGGUGCUUUAGAUCCACCUAGAGGAGCCUGUUCUAGAACCGAUAACCCCCGUUCAACCUCACCUUUCCUUGUUUUUCCCGCCUAUAUACCGCCGUCGUCAGCUUACCCUGUGAAGGAUUUAUAGUAAGCAAAAUUGGUACAACCUAAAACGUCAGGUCGAGGUGUAGCGUAUGGGAAGGGAAGAAAUGGGCUACAUUUCCUAAAACAGGAAAUUACGGACGAUGUACUGAAACGUACAUCUGAAGGAGGAUUUAGCAGUAAGCAGGAAAUAGAGCGUCCAGCUGAAAUUGGCCCUGAAGCGCGCACACACCGCCCGUCACUCUCCCCAAGCCUAUCAACUAAUAUAACUAAAACCUUAUAAUCGCGAAGGGGAGGCAAGUCGUAACAUGGUAAGUGUACCGGAAGGUGCACUUGGAAAAAU